GACGAACGCUGGCGGCGUGCUUAGCACAUGCAAGUCGAACGGAAAGGCCCUGCUUUUGUGGGGUGCUCGAGUGCCGAACGGGUGAGUAACACGUGAGUAACAUGCCCCUGACUUUGGGGUAACUUUAGGAAACUGGGGCUAAUACCGGAUAGGAUCUCCUGCUCCAUGUUGUUGGUUGGUGAGUUUCGGCGGUUGGGGAUGGACUCGCGGCUUAUCCGCUUUAUUGUGGGGUAGGUGCUUACCAAGGCUUUGACGGGUAGCCGGCCUGAGAGGGUUACCGGCCACAUUGGGACUGAGAUACGGACCAGACUGCUACGGGAGGCAGCAGUGGGGAAUAUUGCACAAUGGGCGGAAGCCUGAUGCAGCAACGCCGCGUGCGGGAUGACGUCCUUCGGGUUGUAAACCGCUUUCGCCUGUGACGAAGCGUGAGUGACGGUAAUGGGUAAAGAAGCACCGGCUAACUACGUG
RNAcentral lists this ribosomal RNA (468 nucleotides) under uncultured bacterium. RNAcentral describes it as "partial 16S ribosomal RNA". It matches the Rfam family "Bacterial small subunit ribosomal RNA", at positions 28 to 507 of the family's 1533-position model. The record is from RNAcentral.